RNAcentral lists this ribosomal RNA (66 nucleotides) under uncultured bacterium. RNAcentral describes it as "partial 16S ribosomal RNA". The record is from RNAcentral.
AAGCCGGGGGGACCUGAAGUCGGUAACCGUAAGGAACCGCCUAGGGUAAAAUCGGUAAUUGGGGCU